CUUGAUCGACCCCAGCCACAGGGGCUCGUCCCGAUCCUGGCCAUAUGUCGCCAGCAGGGCCUGCGCCUC
RNAcentral lists this antisense RNA (69 nucleotides) under Kutzneria buriramensis. RNAcentral's name for it is "ASpks TB sRNA". It matches the Rfam family "ASpks TB sRNA". Lineage: Bacteria; Bacillati; Actinomycetota; Actinomycetes; Pseudonocardiales; Pseudonocardiaceae. The record is from RNAcentral.